This is a non-coding RNA of Peromyscus maniculatus bairdii (prairie deer mouse), 1563 nucleotides long. NCBI's taxonomy places the organism in Eukaryota, Metazoa, Chordata, Mammalia, Rodentia, Cricetidae. The record is from RefSeq and is a predicted model, not a curated record.
CCCAGUUUCUUUGGGACCUGGUAACCGCCACUGGCUCCUGUUUAAAAACUAACCGUGUUUCCCAGUUGCUCCGGUAAGACCCAGUCUUUCCUUUUGCUUCAGCUCCUCCCUUCUUUGCCUUGAAGGGCACAGAAAAGGUGCUACAGACCUCCUGGGGGGGGGGGGGGUUCUUCUCUCUUCUUCAUGGAGCCCCAAGUAUCAUAGAUCGAUUCCUCUUCGAUCCGAAACCCUGCUCUCUGGAUUAAGCCGCUCACUCAGAAACCUAGCUAAGCAACGCAAACUAAGAGUUUGGAAACCAUGAAUUUCUAGUUUCUAGAAUGUGGCCUUUGCAUAAGUUCACUGAGAAUCGGCUCUUGUACCUGGACACAAGCGGAGACCCUGGUCCAGUUGUCAAGGUUUCAGGUCAUUGUAAGGAAGGAAGGAAGGCCAUCUGUGUGGAGGCAACAGAAAAGCUGAGCCUGUUCCUUACCAUCACAGUCUCGUGCAGGUUCACUGGCCCAUGACUGUGAGCACAAAGACACAUCAGCUCCAAGGACAGGAAGAGCCCAGGACGUCCACCUUGCCUGGUGGUCAGCUUGUCUCGGAGGAGCAAAGUACGCACUUGGCUGUCUAUUCCUAAGGCCAAGGUGAAGACUGUGUUCUAGAAAGAGAAUUAUGUCUAAAUAUAGGCCAGAGGAUCCAGAAUUUCAGACUAGCUCCCUCCGUGUGUGAGUGACUAGAGGGAAUGAAGGAACAGAAGAUGAAGGGUUUAAGUGUGUGAGUUCAUUUAAGGACACAUCCCAAUAAGGAAAAGCCAUGCAGCAUCUGAUUGUUUUAUGAAGCACUGUGAAGAGAAUUGUUUGGCACUGUUUGUAUAUAACAGACUCACAAUUUGUGUCUUUAAAUAUGAAGCUCAAAUCACCUCGUCUAAAAUUAUGCUUCCUACCAAGAUUGCUUAGUAACCACUCAUAGGAAAGAACACAGGCCUGGAGGCGGGACCUCAGCUCUCCUCAGACAAUGACUUCCACUUAGAGAAUCCUGGUGAAGGCACUUCCGGUUCCUGCCCGUUUCUCUGCUACUCAGGCUCUGUGGCUCUUGAAAGGCUUCAGCGCUUCUGAUGGAAAGUCAGAAGGUUGAAUAUUUUCCAUCCUGAAAGUCCCUUCCGGUUUAGAAUCACUUGAUUUGAGCCUGUGUUUCUGCUGAGGGACUGGAGUCGCCUGAACAGUUUGUUCGAUCGCAUGAGCAUUUGGCGGAAAGGUUCCGAACUCCUCAGAAGGAUCCAUUCAAAGGAAAAAUUGAUGUCAACCAAAUAAAGUGGGCGGAGAAGGCUGUCCUUUGUUCUGAAACAGGAAGUAAUAAAAGCUGACGUGGUGGCGUGUCCUAGCUAGGGCUAUACCGCUGCAAUGAAACACCAUGACCAAAAGCAACUUGAGGCGGGAAGGCCUUGUUUGGCUUACACUUCCACGUUGUAGUCCAUCAGGGAAGGAAGUCAAACAGGGCCAGAGCUCAAACAAGGCAAGAACCCAGAGGCAGGAGCUGAUGCAGAAGCCACGGAAGAGUACAGCUUACUGGCUUGAUCCUCAA